Molecule: long non-coding RNA, 1448 nt
Organism: Populus nigra (black poplar)
Lineage: Eukaryota; Viridiplantae; Streptophyta; Magnoliopsida; Malpighiales; Salicaceae
Exons: 2
Source: RefSeq, a predicted model, not a curated record
ACUUGAAGCCGGGCUAAUCCAUAGUGCUCCCCUUACAUCCUCCCAAAUGGCAGCUCUUGCAUCUCCCACUGAACUUGCCUUUGUCUCAACACCAAACCAAAACCAAGACAAAAACAUUAACUUCCUCUGGGUUCAAUGCCAACUCUUCAUGUCCAAAAGGAACAACAAGAAUUACAUCAAAGUUUGAAACUUUCUUGUCUUAACAGGCAAGAUUUGCGUCAAAGUUUGAAACUUUUCAGGCUGUGUAAAGCUCGGAGAUUGAAGACAGCUAGGUGAAUGCUCAAGGAGCUUGGGGCAUCUGGGCUUGUUCCGAAUGUUAUAACUAUACCACAGUUAUGACAUGUUGCUUUAGAUCUAGGAAAUUUGAACAAGGGUUUGAGAUUUUUUAGGAGAUGAUUGAUAAGGGGUAUACCUUUGAUGGUUUUGCAUAUUGCACGGUUGUUGGUGCUUUGGUCAAGACUUGUAGAAUUGAAGAGGCAAGUCAUUAUAUGGAGGGGAUGGUGACAUCUUAUAAUGCACCGAUUAAUUUGAACUGCGAAGGUAGUAAGUUGGAAGUGGCAUGUGAAAUACUUGAUGAAAUGGAUAAGGUUUAGAAUGUGAUGAGUAGACACACACGAUUCUGAUGAAUGGGUUGUGUGAGGAAGGUGAUGUUUAUGGGGCCAUGGAGUAUAUGAAUGUAGUGGGUUUCAAUUCAAACUUGGUUGCUUUAAACACAAUGGUUGAUGGGUGGUGUAAAGCUGACUGGAUUGAUUGUGCUUUGAAAAUCUUUGAUUCAAUGGAUACAAGGGAUUCUUUUAGCCACUCCUCCUUGAUUCACAAUCUUUGCAAGGAUGGAAGGUUCCGUUGUGCAUCCAAGCUCGUGCUCUCUUGUGUUAGAAGUGGCAUGAGUAUACUCCCAUCUACUAAGCAUGCAGUUUUUGACAGUCUUAGUCGUUCUGGUUGUCAAAGAGAAGCAAAGAGACUUAAAUCAGAAAUUAAACUGGCUCUUUCAGCAUUCGUUUAGGUGCACUGUGGAGGUGGAAUGUUUUUCUGGCACUUAUUUAAUUUGUUAGUCAUUUACAAUGCAAAGCUUUUGUUGAAAUAGAACUGCAAACAUUGACAGUUACGUUUAGAGCUCCCAAAGUGCUUCUUGUGCUAAUAAGACCUAUUGUACAAAAUACAAAUUGGUCUUAAGAACCAGCUGGUAAAUUGGAAACUGAAUUUCAUUAAUAUCAUUCGAGCAUCACCAUUGUAACAUUGUUCUUAACGAGAGCACGUUUGGCCAAAUCUACUCUUGCUGAAGAAAGGACAGUUUACCAACCAUGCCAAUAUUGGUGGAUGAAGGAAGAAAGACACAUGACAGUUUUUAUUGUUGGUGGUCUCACGGGUGAAACUCUCUUAUAUAUCAAUGAUGGUCUUGUUGGACUACUUUUGAGUUCAAAUUUAAUGAUAAACUUGAUUGUACACUA